RNAcentral lists this long non-coding RNA (481 nucleotides) under Ricinus communis (castor bean). RNAcentral describes it as "long non-coding RNA (RCOM_LNC002469)". Lineage: Eukaryota; Viridiplantae; Streptophyta; Magnoliopsida; Malpighiales; Euphorbiaceae. The record is from RNAcentral.
UUUAAGGUGUAUGAAGUUUCAUAUUUGAUUUUUUAAGCAGAAGCGGGGCGAUGGAGAUUCCAUUUAACUUAGGUUAAUCUAAGCCAAAAGCAGACCUACGUUAGGAUAACCCUUAUUUGAAACACUUUGGUAGUGCUCUCGGAUCGGAAUCCAUAAAUCAGAGCACAUGGAGCCAUCCUCUUAUCUUUCUGCCAAGAGAAUUAUGGUAGACUAAUCGAUUAUUUAUAUCAGUUAAUGAACGAGCCCAAUGCAAAAAAAUGCAUGUUGGGUCUUUGAAAAAGUCCGAAUCAUUUUGAUAAUAAUCAGUUUGAUCUGUUUUACCGAGAAGGUCUAUGGUUCGAGUCCGUAUAGCCCUAAACAAAAAUAAAGAAAAUUCAAAUCAAAAUUAAAAUAAAUAAAAAUGAAAAAAUUUUAAAUAAAAAUAUAAAUAAAAAAUAAAAAUUUCUAAUAGAAUUUAGAAAUUCUAAAUAAAAAAAUAAAA